AUCAAAACUCCAAACCUCAUCCGAAGCAGACUAGAUAUGAAAAGGCUAAAUUACAGAAAUUCUCUGUCAAUAUCCAUUUUUUUACUUUUUUCUCCUUACCAUUCAAAAAUCUAUAUUUUGUCGUCUUAAAAAUAAAAAAAUAUUCACUUUAGCCCCUGCUGUUAGUGUUCUAUUAGGGUUCCGUUUAUAUCUUAUUUUUUAUACCCAAAAUAUCUCUGAAACCCUUAUUUAUACCCACACACAUGCCCUUAGCCGCCGCCUCGCCCUCGCCUUCGCCUUCGCCCUCGCCCACCCCUCUGUCUAUGCCUAAACGCAUGCCCUUUUCUCUCCU
This 331-nucleotide long non-coding RNA is filed under the name Ananas comosus (pineapple). RNAcentral describes it as "long non-coding RNA (ACOM_LNC027041)". Lineage: Eukaryota; Viridiplantae; Streptophyta; Magnoliopsida; Poales; Bromeliaceae. The record is from RNAcentral.